RNAcentral lists this ribosomal RNA (301 nucleotides) under uncultured bacterium. RNAcentral describes it as "partial 16S ribosomal RNA". It matches the Rfam family "Bacterial small subunit ribosomal RNA", at positions 509 to 807 of the family's 1533-position model. The record is from RNAcentral.
CAGUCGCCGCGGGAAUACGUAGGUGGCAAGCGUUAAUCGGAAUUACUGGGCGUAAAGCGUGCGCAGGCGGUUCUAUAAGACAGAUGUGAAAUCCCCGGGCUCAACCUGGGAACUGCAUUUGUGACUGUAGAGCUGGAGUGCGGCAGAGGGGGAUGGAAUUCCGCGUGUAGCAGUGAAAUGCGUAGAUAUGCGGAGGAACACCGAUGGCGAAGGCAAUCCCCUGGGCCUGCACUGACGCUCAUGCACGAAAGCGUGGGGAGCAAACAGGAUUAGAUACCCCCGUAGUCCCUGUCUCUUAUAC